CACACACUUUCCUAAGUUCAAUUAUUGCCACAUUUACUACAUGUCACUGGAAGUCAUAUGGUUGACCCAUCAUUGUGGGAGAGAAUAAAAAGGCAAAGGAUAUGGGUGCAGGGAAAGGUGGAAAAUGAGGUCUCGUAACAAAAUCAAUCUACCAGAGCAGCUUCUUAGUGGCAGUUUAUCUAAUUCAAAUGCAUACAAAAUCACAAAGAAAACCUAUGUAAUGAAGAGUGGCAGAACCAAAAUUUAAAUAGUAAUGGCACACAGGGAGAAAUAUUUGCAUCUUCAACAUGUAAGGAUAACUUUCAAAUUCAUAAAAAAAUCAAAUUAUUAGUGGUAAAUUUCCAAGGAAUAGGAACAAAGAAGAAAAGCAAGAGGUGAACAAGUUCAUGAAACAAAUAUUUAUCCUGAUGUGGAUAUAAUUUUCAAUAAAUAAAUUAACAGAAAAAUAAAAAUUUUGAUCAAGAGCAAAUAAAAUUGAGGCAAUAC
This 486-nucleotide long non-coding RNA is filed under the name Marmota monax (woodchuck). Lineage: Eukaryota; Metazoa; Chordata; Mammalia; Rodentia; Sciuridae. The record is from RNAcentral.